This 376-nucleotide unclassified non-coding RNA is filed under the name fungal sp. RNAcentral's name for it is "partial internal transcribed spacer region". The stretch from base 1 to 46 matches the Rfam family "Eukaryotic small subunit ribosomal RNA", at positions 1786 to 1831 of the family's 1831-position model. The record is from RNAcentral. Lineage: Eukaryota; Fungi.
AAGUCGUAACAAGGUUUCCGUAGGUGAACCUGCGGAAGGAUCAUUAACAAUGUUUUGGUGCAUAUCCAAAAUCUGUCUAGGUCUGUGCAUUCAAUUCACUACCAACCGUGCGUUGACUCUCGGCUGGUACUGCUUGAACGUCCUAGUACACACACUGGGAAAUGGAGGCUUGCUUAGAAGCCGCCGUUUCAUUUAACAAGAACCUGGGGUACUUUAAGGUAGAGGGUAAAAACCUUUACUUUAGAGCCCUCUAAUAAUCCCCCCCUCUUUAUUUUACCAUAUUUUACCCUUAAGACUAUAAGACUGAUAUGACAUGGUUUAGUGUCUAACAUUAAAUCUUAUGAAACAACUCUUAACAAUGGAUAUCUCGGUUCUG